UACGUAGGGGGCAAGCGUUGUCCGGAUUUAUUGGGCGUAAAAAGCGUGUAGGCGGCCAUGCAGGUCAGCUGUGAAAACUCGAUGGCUCAACCUCGAGAUGUCGGUUGAAACCGUAUGGCUAGAGUCCGGAAGAGGAGAGUGGAAUUCCCGGUGUAGCGGUGAAAUGCGCAGAUAUCGGGAAGAACACCCGUGGCGAAGGCGGCUCUCUGGGACGGUACUGACGCUGAGACGCGAAAGCGUGGGGAGCGAACAGG
This 254-nucleotide ribosomal RNA is filed under the name uncultured bacterium. RNAcentral's name for it is "partial 16S ribosomal RNA". It matches the Rfam family "Bacterial small subunit ribosomal RNA", at positions 524 to 776 of the family's 1533-position model. The record is from RNAcentral.